GCUCAGUUGGUUAAGCCACUGCCUUCAGCUCAGGUCAUGAUCCCAAGAUCCUGGGAUCGAGUCCCGCAUCGGGGUCCCUGUUUGGCAAGGAUCCUGCUUUUCUCACUGCAUUUGCCUCCUUGUGUGUACUCUUU
This is a long non-coding RNA of Lutra lutra (Eurasian river otter), 134 nucleotides long. RefSeq lists it as uncharacterized. NCBI's taxonomy places the organism in Eukaryota, Metazoa, Chordata, Mammalia, Carnivora, Mustelidae. The transcript is spliced from 3 exons. The record is from RefSeq and is a predicted model, not a curated record.